CUGUGCCUCCUGGUUGCCGAGUGUUCACCUGGAUCUUCUGAUCACCUUUGUGCUAUUCCAUCAGCCUGCAGAUCUGGUACCUGGAUUUUUGCCCAUGGUGAUGGAUUCUGCCACCUCAGUACUGAAGAAGACAUCAUUCCAGUGGACCACUGUGAUCUAGGAGGCGUAUCCAGCGAAUCAUCAUGAUGUGGCCUUCACCUCCACUCCUGUCCUGUUCUACCCAGAUUCAACACAGCCUUUUG
Unclassified non-coding RNA from Capra hircus (goat), 242 nucleotides. The record is from Ensembl. Lineage: Eukaryota; Metazoa; Chordata; Mammalia; Artiodactyla; Bovidae.